RNAcentral lists this ribosomal RNA (554 nucleotides) under Sporobolomyces pararoseus. Its description in RNAcentral is "Sporidiobolus pararoseus partial large subunit ribosomal RNA". It matches the Rfam family "Eukaryotic large subunit ribosomal RNA", at positions 49 to 616 of the family's 3401-position model. Lineage: Eukaryota; Fungi; Basidiomycota; Microbotryomycetes; Sporidiobolales; Sporidiobolaceae. The record is from RNAcentral.
UGCGGAGGAAAAGAAACUAACAAGGAUUCCCCUAGUAGCGGCGAGCGAAGCGGGAAAAGCUCAAAUUUGUAAUCUGGCGUCUUCGACGUCCGAGUUGUAAUCUCGAGAAGUGUUUUCCGUGAUAGACCGCAUACAAGUCUCUUGGAACAGAGCGUCAUAGUGGUGAGAACCCAGUACACGAUGCGGAUGCCUAUUACUUUGUGAUACACUUUCGAAGAGUCGAGUUGUUUGGGAAUGCAGCUCAAAUUGGGUGGUAAAUUCCAUCUAAAGCUAAAUAUUGGCGAGAGACCGAUAGCGAACAAGUACCGUGAGGGAAAGAUGAAAAGCACUUUGGAAAGAGAGUUAACAGUACGUGAAAUUGUUGGAAGGGAAACACAUGCAGUGAUACUUGCUAUUCGGGGCAACUCGAUUGGCAGGCCCGCAUCAGUUUUUCGGGGCGGAAAAGCAUAGAGAGAAGGUAGCAGUUUCGGCUGUGUUAUAGCUCUUUAUUGGAUUCGCCCUGGGGGACUGAGGAACGCAGCGUGCUUUUUGCAUGAGCUUCGGCUUAUCCACGC